This 507-nucleotide ribosomal RNA is filed under the name uncultured bacterium. RNAcentral's name for it is "partial 16S ribosomal RNA". It matches the Rfam family "Bacterial small subunit ribosomal RNA", at positions 28 to 507 of the family's 1533-position model. The record is from RNAcentral.
GACGAACGCUGGCGGCGUGCUUAACACAUGCAAGUCGAACGGGCCUUGUCCCCUUUUUUUUGGGGGCGGGGUUAGUGGCGAACGGGUGAGUAACACGUGAGUAACCUGCCCCUCACUUCUGGAUAACCGCUUGAAAGGGUGGCUAAUACGGGGUGUUCUGGCCUGCUCGCAUGGGUGGGUUUGGAAAGAUUCGACCGGUUUUGGUUGUUUUGGUGGGGGAUGGGCUCGCGGCCUAUCAGCUUGUUGGUGGGGUGAUGGCCUGCCAAGGCUUUGACGGGUAGCCGGCCUGAGAGGGUGGGCGGUCACACUGGGACUGAGACACGGCCCAGACUCCUACGGGAGGCAGCAGUGGGGAAUAUUGCACAAUGGGCGCAAGCCUGAUGCAGCGACGCCGCGUGAGGGAUGGAGGCCUUCGGGUUGUGAACCUCUUUCGCCAGUGAAGAAGGUCCUGCUCUUUGUGGUGGGGUUGACGGUAGCUGGGUUAAUGAAGCGCCGGCUAACUACGUG